GGCUGUGUGGCGGCUACUUCCGGUUCCUCGCCUCUCCUAUUGGCUGUUACUCCGAGACCGGAACUGCAUCUAUUCCGGGUGCCAUUUUCCUUCAGGGCAGAAGGCGAGGUUUGUUAUGGGCAUGGACUCUUUAAGCAGAAGCUUUAACCGCUUUCCCUUCUACCUUACAACUCCUUCCCUUCGUUUUUCCCUUCAAAGUUUUCAAAGCUCAGCGGAGCCUAGGAUGCCUGUGGUUGUCUUAGGGUGUAGGGUGCGAAGUUGGGGUGGGGGGCGAGGAGGUCCCAAAACCACAGAGAUGCGUGUUUAUCAAGCUAACCGGGAAAGUCCAAACUUCUGACUUCACUGCUCUGCUCUUGAUUUGGUAUCCUGGGUUGGGUGUGAAAGGUGUUACUUGGGAGUUAACUUGUCCAGGACUUACACUUUGUUAGGAAUCACCUUAAAGACCGGGCGUGGCGGCGCACGCCUUUAAUCGGGAGGCCGAGGCAGGCAGAUCUCUUUGAAUUUGAGGUCAGCCUGGUCUACACAGUGAGUUCCAGAACAGCCAGAGCUGCUACACAGAGAAACCCUGCCGUGGGGAAAAAAAAAAGGAAUCACUUGGAAAUUUUGUUAAGCUGUUGAUUUUGAUUCAUUGGUCAAGGGUGAAGCCCAAGAGUCUACAUGGUCCACCUCUCAGGAGAGUUCCACGGCACGUGUCCUUUCCAGAGUUAGCAAAUGAGAUGCUUUUGCAAGGGAAGCUAUUUCAUCUCUGUAAAUUACAGGUUCAGGACCUGAAGACAGGAGAAGCAUGGCAAGUUCAAGAAGAGCCUGUUCUACACAUGUGAGCUACAGCUCAAGAUGUAAGCUCUCAGCUGCUACAGCCAAUGUGCCUACUGCUUACUGCCACACUGCCCAGCCAUGAUGGACUCUUAACUCUGAAACCAUAAGCCCAAUUUACCACUUUUUUAUAGGUUGCAUGGUGUUUUGUCACAAUAAUAGAAAAGUAACUGAGACACUUCCCAAGGCCUGUUUACCUCAUACCCAUCUCAUUGGAAAGGGUAGAGUUCCAAUAUGAGAUGUUCAGGAGUCAUGUUUAGCUCAUUGCUACUCACUUCGCUAGCCAGGAGAACUUGAAUCUUUUAAAACCAUUUUGAAGCCAGCAGCGGUGGCGCACGCCUUUAAUCCCAGCACUUGGGAGGCAGAUCAGGCAGAUCUCUUGGGUUCAAGGCC
Peromyscus maniculatus bairdii (prairie deer mouse) is the source of this 1206-nucleotide non-coding RNA. NCBI's taxonomy places the organism in Eukaryota, Metazoa, Chordata, Mammalia, Rodentia, Cricetidae. The record is from RefSeq and is a predicted model, not a curated record.